GCCGGGGUAGCUCAGCAGGUAGAGCAGCGGACUGAAAAUCCGUGUGUCGGCGGUUCAAUUCCGCCCCCCGGCA
RNAcentral lists this transfer RNA (73 nucleotides) under Candidatus Fermentibacterota bacterium. Its description in RNAcentral is "tRNA-Phe". It matches the Rfam family "tRNA". Rfam says of the family: Transfer RNA (tRNA) molecules are approximately 80 nucleotides in length. Their secondary structure includes four short double-helical elements and three loops (D, anti-codon, and T loops). Further hydrogen bonds mediate the characteristic L-shaped molecular structure. tRNAs have two regions of fundamental functional importance: the anti-codon, which is responsible for specific mRNA codon recognition, and the 3' end, to which the tRNAs corresponding amino acid is attached (by aminoacyl-tRNA synthetases). tRNAs cope with the degeneracy of the genetic code in two manners: having more than one tRNA (with a specific anti-codon) for a particular amino acid; and 'wobble' base-pairing, i.e. permitting non-standard base-pairing at the 3rd anti-codon position. The record is from RNAcentral. Lineage: Bacteria; Pseudomonadati; Candidatus Fermentibacterota.